Molecule: ribosomal RNA, 252 nt
Filed under: uncultured bacterium
Lineage: Bacteria
Description: partial 16S ribosomal RNA
Rfam family: Bacterial small subunit ribosomal RNA
Source: RNAcentral
UACGAAGGGGGCUAGCGUUGUUCGGAAUUACUGGGCGUAAAGCGCACGUAGGCGGAUUGCUAAGUCAGGGGUGAAAUCCUGGAGCUCAACUCCAGAACUGCCUUUGAUACUGGGAGUCUCGAGUCCGGGAGAGGUGAGUGGAACUGCGAGUGUAGAGGUGAAAUUCGUAGAUAUUCGCAAGAACACCAGUGGCGAAGGCGGCUCACUGGCCCGGUACUGACGCUGAGGUGCGAAAGCGUGGGGAGCAACAGG